This 222-nucleotide ribosomal RNA is filed under the name uncultured bacterium. RNAcentral's name for it is "partial 16S ribosomal RNA". It matches the Rfam family "Bacterial small subunit ribosomal RNA", at positions 116 to 334 of the family's 1533-position model. The record is from RNAcentral.
CGGUGAGCAACCUGCCUUUCAGAGGGGGAGUAACAUUUGGAAACAAAUGCUAAUACCGCAUAAGAUUACAGUACCGCAUGAUACAGUGAUCAAAGGAGCAAUCCGCUGAAAGAUGGGCUCGCGUCCGAUUAGAUAGUUGGUGAGGUAACGGCUCACCAAGUCGACGAUCGGUAGCCGGACUGAGAGGUUGAACGGCCACAUUGGGACUGAGACACGGCCCAG